AACGAACGCUGGCGGCAUGCCUAACACAUGCCAGUCGAACGAGACCUUCGGGUCUAGUGGCGCACGGGUGCGUAACGCGUGGGAACCUGCCUUUAGGUUCGGAAUAACUCAGAGAAAUUUGAGCUAAUACCGGAUGAUGUCUUCGGACCAAAGAUUUAUCGCCUUUAGAUGGGCCCGCGUUGGAUUAGCUAGUUGGUGGGGUAAAGGCCUACCAAGGCGACGAUCCAUAGCUGGUCUGAGAGGAUGAUCAGCCACACUGGGACUGAGACACGGCCCAGACUCCUACGGGAGGCAGCAGUGGGGAAUAUUGGACAAUGGGCGAAAGCCUGAUCCAGCAAUGCCGCGUGAGUGAUGAAGGCCUUAGGGUUGUAAAGCUCUUUUACCCGAGGUGAUAAUGACAGUAUCGGGAGAAUAAGCGCCGGCUAACUCCGUG
This 433-nucleotide ribosomal RNA is filed under the name uncultured bacterium. Its description in RNAcentral is "partial 16S ribosomal RNA". It matches the Rfam family "Bacterial small subunit ribosomal RNA", at positions 29 to 507 of the family's 1533-position model. The record is from RNAcentral.